CAGCCGCCGCGGUAAUACGGAGGGUGCAAGCGUUAUCCGGAUUUAUUGGGUUUAAAGGGUCCGUAGGCGGACUUAUAAGUCAGUGGUGAAAGCCUGUCGCUUAACGAUAGAACUGCCAUUGAUACUGUAAGUCUUGAGUAUAUUUGAGGUAGCUGGAAUAAGUAGUGUAGCGGUGAAAUGCAUAGAUAUUACUUAGAACACCAAUUGCGAAGGCAGGUUACCAAUAUAUAACUGACGCUGAGGGACGAAAGCGUGGGUAGCGAACAGGAUUAGAUACCCCUGUAGUCCCUGUCUCUUAUAC
This 301-nucleotide ribosomal RNA is filed under the name uncultured bacterium. RNAcentral's name for it is "partial 16S ribosomal RNA". It matches the Rfam family "Bacterial small subunit ribosomal RNA", at positions 509 to 807 of the family's 1533-position model. The record is from RNAcentral.